CCAACGGUCGGUUCACCAGAGACGCGGGCGCCCGAGCGCAACUCCCGCCAUCUCCCUCGCUUCCCGACCACCUCUCCUUCCAAAUGGGCAGUUCCACUCCCACCGCCUGGGAUCCCCCCACAAACCGCAGCGCCACCGCUGCGACCCCCACCCCGCAUCGCGCCUCCUCCUCCUCGGCGCCGCCGCGAUGAUGUUCCGCCCGGGCACCGCCGUGUGGGUGGAGCACGCGGACCUCACCUGGGCCGAGGCCGAGGUGGUAUCCUCCCCCGCCUCCUCGUCAUCGAAGUCCGCGGUCACGGUCGUUCUAUCCACCGGCGUCAAGGCCGUGGUGGACGGUAGGAAGGUCCUGCCGCGGGACACAGAGGCUGAUCUCGGGGGCGUCGACGACAUGACCAAGCUCGUCUACCUCCAUGAACCCGGGGUGCUCUGCAACCUCGCGCGGCGAUACACACUUAACGAGAUCUACACAUACACAGGGCGCAUCUUAAUCGCUGUAAAUCCUUUCGCAAAGCUGUCUCAUAUGUACAAUAUGCAUAUGAUGGAGCAGUACAGAGGCGUGCAGUUCGGUGAAUUGAGUCCACAUGUUUUUGCCAUUGCAGAUGCAUCAUACAAAGCUAUGGUUAGCGAGAACCGCAGCCAGUCCAUAUUAGUCAGUGGAGAAAGUGGUGCUGGGAAAACGGAAACUACCAAGCUCAUUAUGCGAUAUCUUACUUUUGUUGGGGGCCGUGCAACUGGUGAUGUCCGCUCUGUGGAGCAACAAGUUCUAGAGUCAAAUCCACUGUUGGAGGCUUUUGGUAAUGCACGGACUGUGAGAAAUGACAACUCCAGUCGAUUUGGGAAAUUUGUUGAAAUUCAGUUUGACAAAUCUGGUAGAAUAUCUGGCGCUGCGGUUCGAACUUAUCUCCUGGAACGAUCUCGUGUUGUGCAAAUUUCUGAAUCUGAAAGGAAUUACCACUGUUUUUAUCAACUUUGUGCAUCUGGGCAGGAUGCAGAUAAAUACAAGCUUUCUCACCCUAGGAACUUUAACUACUUGAAUCAAAGCCAUAUGUAUGAAUUAGAAGGGGUCAAUGAGGCAGAGCAAUAUUUACAAACACGGAGAGCAAUGGACAUUGUUGGUAUAUGUUUUUCUGAUCAGGAAGCUAUAUUCCGUACGGUGGCUGCUAUCCUUCAUCUAGGGAAUAUUGAAUUUUCUCCUGGAGAAGAGUUUGAUUCAUCUGUUAUUAAGGAUGAAAAUUGCAAAUUCCAUCUACAGAUGGCUGCUGAUUUGCUUAUGGUUGAUGCAAGCCUUUUGCUUUCAACUCUUUGCUAUCGCACAAUUAAAACUCCCGAAGGAAACAUAGUCAAGGCAGUUGACUGUUCUGCAGCUGUCAUUGGUCGUGAUACACUUGCAAAGACUGUUUAUGCUCGACUAUUUGAUUGGCUUGUUGACAACAUUAAUAAGUCCAUUGGGCAGGACGUGGAGUCAAGGUCACAAAUUGGGGUCUUGGACAUAUAUGGUUUUGAGUGUUUCAAAUAUAACAGCUUUGAGCAGUUGUGCAUCAAUUUUGCUAAUGAAAAGCUCCAACAACAUUUUAAUAAGGUAUUUUAUGGCCCCGCCCCUCAUCCUCCCUUUCAAGCACAUAAAUAUCUGAUUCCUUUUUUCUUUAAUUUCUUGAUCCAGCAUGUUUUCAAGAUGGAGCAGGAGGAAUAUAAAACAGAAGAAAUCAAUUGGAGCUACAUUGAAUUUGUUGAUAACCAAGAUAUAUUGGAUCUUAUUGAAAAGAAACCAAUAGGCAUAGUUUCACUAUUGGAUGAAGCAUGCAUGCUUGGGAAGUCAACACAUGAAACUUUUGCAAUGAAGUUGUUUCAGAAUUUAAGGGCACAUCCAAGACUAGAAAAACCAAAGCUUUCUAAGACAGAUUUUGCCCUAUUUCAUUUUGCUGGAAAGGUGACCUACCAAACUGAUUUGUUUUUAGAGAAGAACCGAGAUUAUGUUAUAGCAGAGCACCAGAAUCUUUUGUCUUCUUCAAAAUGCUCAUUUAUUUCUGGUCUCUUCGCUUCACACCAAGAUGACCCCUCAAAAUCAUCCUAUAAGUUUUCUUCAGUAGCUUCACGAUUUAAGCAACAACUCCAAGCACUAAUGGAGACACUUAGCUCAACGGAACCUCACUACAUCCGUUGCAUAAAACCAAAUUCUCUGAGUCGUCCACAGAAGUUUGAAAAUGGCAGUGUUCUACAGCAACUGCGUAGCGGGGGUGUCCUUGAAGCUAUUAGGAUAAGUCUUGCUGGUUAUCCCACACGGAGAACAUACUCCGAGUUCAUUAAUCGCUUUGGACUUCUUGUGCCAGAGCAUAUGGAUGAAAGAUUUGAUGAGAGAUCACUGACACAGAGGAUCCUAAAGCAACUAAACCUUGAGAACUUUCAACUUGGCAGGACAAAAGUUUUUCUCCGGGCUGGCCAGAUUGCUGUUUUGGACUCCAGACGUGGUGAGAUUCUGGACAAUGCUUCCAGAAUAUUGCAGGGUCACUUUCGAACCUUUAUUGCUCGCAAGAAAUUUCUUUCAACAAGGAAAGCUUCCAUCUCCAUCCAAAUGUAUUGCCGAGGGUGUUUAGCACGAAAUGUGCUUGAAGCUAAGAAACAGAUAGCAGCAGCUGUUUCAGUUGAAAGAUAUGCUCGAAGAUGGUUGUGUCGUUGUGCAUAUUUGCAUCUUCGUUCUGCUGCUCUUGUGAUCCAGUCUGGUAUUCGCUAUAUCUUAGCAGUUCAAAGAUUGCGGCACGUAAAGAAUGCUAAAGCUUCUACUGUUAUACAGGCUUGGUGGAGGAUGCAGAAGCUCCAUAAUUUCCAUCAGCAAUACCGAUGGGCAACAGUUCUCAUCCAGUGCUGUUGGAGACAGAAGCUUGCUAAAAGGGCAUUGCGGAACCUUAAACAUGCUGCAUAUGAAGCUGGAGCCUUACGAGAAGCAAAAGGAAAACUCGAGAAGAGCUUAGAAGAUCUUACCUUACGAUUCACCUUAGAGAGGAGGCAAAGGCUUGCUGCUGAAGAGUCGAAGGCAUUGGAGAUAUCUAAGCUUGUCAAAAUCUUGGAGUCUGUGAAGUCAGAAUUAGAGGCAUCAAAUGAAGAAAAUAAAAGGAAUUGCAAGAAAAUUGCCUCGCUCCAACAUCAGUUAGAGUUAUCAUCCAAGGAUCAAGAAGCUCUGAAUAACAGUCUUUCUCAAAUGGAAGAAGUGAAGAGGGAGAAUAUUUCACUAAAGGAAAGUAAUGCAGAAAUGGAACAAGAGCUAUUAAAAGCUCAAAAAUGUAGCCAUGAUAAUAUGGAUAAGCUGCACGAUGUGGAAAAGAACUAUUUGCAUCUCCGGGAUAACUUGAAAAACUUAGAGGAUAAGAUCUCGAAUUUAGAAGAUGAGAAUCAUUUAUUGAGGCAGAAGGCCUUGAACUUAUCUCCUAGGCACAGCCGAAGUGGGAGCCAUCAGAUCGGGGCUUCACCAUGCAGCCCAAGGUCAUUCUAUGAAUCUUCACCUGUAAAACUCGCACCUCUCCCACAUAACACUACAGAACUAAGAAGGUCAAGGAUGAAUUCUGAUAGACAUGAGGAUUAUCAUGAUGUGCUCCAACGAUGCAUCAAAGAUGAUAUGGGAUUCAAGAAGGGAAAACCAGUUGCAGCCUGUAUCAUUUACAAAUGCCUUCUCCAUUGGGGAGUAUUUGAGGCUGAAAGAACAACUAUUUUUGACUUCAUAAUUCACACAAUUAAUAACAUCCUGAAGACAGAAAAUGAGAACGACAUUUUGCCCUAUUGGCUAGCCAAUGCUUCUGCCCUUCUAUGCAUGUUACAAAGAAAUUUAAGGUCAAAAGGAUUCAUAAUGGCACCCUCUCGAUCGUCUUCAGAUACUCACUUAAGUGAAAAGGCAAAUGACACAUUCCGGUAUCCUUUGAAAGCCUUUGGCCAGCGGACAAGCAUGUCACACAUUGAUGCUCGAUACCCGGCCAUGCUAUUUAAGCAACAACUUACUGCCUCCUUGGAGAAGAUCUUUGGAUUAAUUCGUGACAACCUAAAGAAAGAGAUAUCCCCUCUUUUGAGCCUUUGCAUUCAGGCACCAAAACUUGCUCGAGGAAGUGGUGGAAGGAGGUCUGGAUCACCUGACGUGGCCGUGCAGCAACCAAUAAGUACUCAUUGGGAUCGGAUUGUUAAAUUUUUGGACUCACUGAUGGAUAGACUACAUAAAAAUUUUGUGCCUUCUUUUUUCGUCCGCAAGCUAGUAACUCAAGUUUUUUCCUUCAUUAAUGUACAGUUGUUCAAUAGUAUGCUUCUACGACGAGAAUGUUGCACAUUUUCAAAUGGAGAAUAUGUGAAGUCUGGGCUUUGUGUACUUGAGAAAUGGAUUGUGGAGGCUGAAGAAGAGCAUACAGGUACAUCUUGGGAUGAGCUGAAGUUCAUCAGGCAAGCGGUUGACUUUCUGGUCAUUCCACAUAAAAGCAAAAAGACCCUUGAGCAGAUUAAGAGGAAUAUUUGCCCGGCGUUAAGUGUGAGACAGAUAUAUCGUAUAUGUACGAUGUACUGGGAUGACAAAUAUGGUACCCAUAGUGUAUCAGCUGAGGUUGUUGCCAAAAUGAGGGACAUGGUGAGCAAUGACACACAAAAUCCUGUGUCCAAUUCAUUUCUUCUAGAUGAUGACUUAAGCAUUCCAUUCACAACCGAGGAAAUAGCAGAGGAAGUACCAGACGUUGACAUGUCAAACAUUGAAAUGCCCUCAUCGCUUCGUCAUGUUCACUCUGCUCAGUUCUUGAUGCAGCACCUUCAGUCGUCUUGCCUGUCGCGAUGAAUUGCCUAGGUUUGGUAGCAAAUAGUGAUGCCCCGUUAGCUAACUUAGAGGAAUGAUAGGCCGUGAUAACAUAACCAUACCUGUUGGUUCAAUUGUUGCUAAUAUUCAUCCACCAUAUGCUUUAUUCAUUUUGUUUUGGUCAUCUCGCAUUCCUUCUAUGUCAAGCCAUCGGCUGUGUUAUAACUAUAGUAGGCUAUAUUAUUCUUUGUAUGUACGCAAAAAAAACAUGAGUGAGCGAGAGCCCAGGGGAGCGAGAGCCCGGCCAGCAGGAUCAGGCGGAGCAGGCUGUUCGUCUGGGCGAGGUGGAGGUUGGUGGUGCCCGGCUCCUCAUUCAGCCCCCUGCAAGAUCUUCAUCGAGAGGCUACCCCUGUACGCCUGGUGCGAGGAGGGAGUCCGCCAGGCUCUCGGUGAUUGCUGCUGCUUCGACUACAUCGACCCGGUGUCCUUCACCCAGGAGAACACUGAGUUCCUCCAAUGCUGGGUGUGGAUGUGGAGCCCGGACCAGCUGCCACGCUCCAAGCUGACGACCUUCUUCCCCGAGCGCGCCGGUCGUUCCAGCCCGGGCGUCACAGCCCCGGCGGCGGCGGUAUGGUGGACCUGCUCUUUCAUCUCGACAGGUAUUUCGACUCGAGCCCGCCACCGCAGCCUCACACACCAAGCUCCCGGGCGAGCGGGAUGCCGUCCUCCACCACUACGGACUCGGAGGGGCGGUCGUUUCCUGUCUUCAGGGAGUUCGCCUGGCACCCUGGGGUGCUGGAUGGGCGCAUGCCUGCGUGCCGGACUCCCAGGACUCCCUCAGCCUGCAGGGGCGGGCCGGCCCCGGCGCGUCGCGAACGCGACCCCGACGACGACGACGACCACCGCGACCUUCGCCGUCACUGGGCGGACAACAUCAACGCCCGUGGUCGGCCGGGGGAUGACUUUACUCUGUGCGGAUUCCAGGACAUGGGGAGCAGAUACCGCUCCCGUUCGCCGGCUCCGCAGGGUCGCCGCCAUGAUGCUGACUCCCGCGGCAUGAGCUGGACGCGCUCCCCCCCCCCCCCCCCCCCCCCCUCUCCCCGGCCAGGGAGCGUGACCCUGCACGCAGAGAUGAUGAAGGCUGGGAGCGCCGGCGCUCACGCUCCCCUGCGCGCUUCCCCUUCCGCGUCGACGCUGGCCGCCCCUGCUCACCACCACCCACGCGGGGGUCUGCGCGCGCUGAGCGGCGCAUCGGCUCGGCGGCAGGAUCUCCUCCAACUCAUCACCAACGCCCAGACUCUCCAUCGACUAGACGCUCCUAUGAUCCUGAUCCGAUCAUGGACUAUCUGCUGACCCUGUGCCGGGGUCCUGGCCUGUGCGUUGACUUUCCCAUUGACAAGGUGCAGGACCCAAUGCUGUUGGAGGUGGCGUGCGCCAGUGUGGCGGCGGCGGCUCUGCAGCACCAGCCUCCCUUCUCGCCUUACCCCGGCUGGCGGGGUAGGGGGCGGAUGCACCAGUGCUGAGGGACAUGGUGCGCAGCGAGGAGGUUCUGUUCGGGCCUGGUGUCCAGCUUGACUUUGGGCGGGAGUCUCUCGAGCAGUUGGCUGAUCAAGUGCAACACAUGGAUAUCGACGGCCCACCGACUUCAGAUGUGGUCAGCAACAACAAAGAAGAUUUCCUUGGGCAGAGCAGCAGGCUGCUUGCUAGGCCCUCCUCCGUGCAGUUGCAAGGAGGGCAACUCAUCGUCUCAUCAGACAGCUCGACCUGGUUGGACAGAAGGAGGCCAUCGGCGAUGAGGCUGUGGAGAGGUAUGAGCGGAUGUAUCAGCACCAAAAUUGCAAGCGGGGGCUGUGAUGGAGGCGACUGCAGCUUUAGCGGCCGAGGCCGGUGCAGCAGAGGUCGAAGCAAACUAAAUGUCACUGUCACAUUGUGUUCCCAGAAGCCUUUUUAGUUAUCAGAUGUUGUCUUUAAGUUAUCAGAUGUUGUCAUUGUUAGUUUCAGUUCAGUCUACUGCUCUAAGUUGUGUAGCAACCUUGUGGGAAUCUGUCGGUGGCAGCGGCAGCUUGUUAUCUAUUGUUAGUGUCCUAAGAUCUGUAGUAGCCUGGUGGGGAUUUCAGAGUUUCAGUCGCACCCUGUUACCUGUUGUUUCA
Panicum virgatum (switchgrass) is the source of this 6903-nucleotide RNA transcript. It is a transcript of the gene named protein OPAQUE1-like, with no coding region annotated. The transcript is spliced from 38 exons. The record is from RefSeq and is a predicted model, not a curated record. NCBI's taxonomy places the organism in Eukaryota, Viridiplantae, Streptophyta, Magnoliopsida, Poales, Poaceae.